Molecule: ribosomal RNA, 432 nt
Filed under: uncultured bacterium
Lineage: Bacteria
Description: partial 16S ribosomal RNA
Rfam family: Bacterial small subunit ribosomal RNA
Source: RNAcentral
AACGAACGCUGGCGGCAUGCCUAAUACAUGCAAGUCGAACGAGAUCUUCGGAUCUAGUGGCGCACGGGUGCGUAACGCGUGGGAAUCUGCCCUUGGGUUCGGAAUAACUUCUGGAAACGGAAGCUAAUACCGGAUGAUGACGUAAGUCCAAAGAUUUAUCGCCCAAGGAUGAGCCCGCGUAGGAUUAGGUAGUUGGUGAGGUAAAGGCUCACCAAGCCGACGAUCCUUAGCUGGUCUGAGAGGAUGAUCAGCCACACUGGGACUGAGACACGGCCCAGACUCCUACGGGAGGCAGCAGUAGGGAAUAUUGGACAAUGGGCGAAAGCCUGAUCCAGCAAUGCCGCGUGAGUGAUGAAGGCCUUAGGGUUGUAAAGCUCUUUUACCCGGGAUGAUAAUGACAGUACCGGGAGAAUAAGCUCCGGCUAACUCCGU